This is a long non-coding RNA of Suricata suricatta (meerkat), 191 nucleotides long. RefSeq lists it as uncharacterized. Lineage: Eukaryota; Metazoa; Chordata; Mammalia; Carnivora; Herpestidae. The record is from RefSeq and is a predicted model, not a curated record. The transcript has 3 exons.
UUACAGAGCCCAUCAGGGCCUUGAAACUCCUCCCCAGCUCCCUGCAGGGACCUGCCGCCUCUAUGCUUAAGGUGUCCUUGUUUCGUACCUGCUACUCUGUACACUUUAUAUCAGCAUCUGUAUCUGUAAAGCUAGAGAUAAAGAAACCGAGGUACCCAGAGGUCGUGAUCUCACGGUUGUGAGUUGAAGCC